Molecule: ribosomal RNA, 515 nt
Filed under: uncultured bacterium
Lineage: Bacteria
Description: partial 16S ribosomal RNA
Rfam family: Bacterial small subunit ribosomal RNA
Source: RNAcentral
GAUGAACGCUGGCGGCGUGCCUAAUACAUGCAAGUCGAGCGAAUGGAUUAAGAGCUUGCUCUUAUGAAGUUAGCGGCGGACGGGUGAGUAACACGUGGGUAACCUGCCCAUAAGACUGGGAUAACUCCGGGAAACCGGGGCUAAUACCGGAUAACAUUUUGAACCGCAUGGUUCGAAAUUGAAAGGCGGCUUCGGCUGUCACUUAUGGAUGGACCCGCGUCGCAUUAGCUAGUUGGUGAGGUAACGGCUCACCAAGGCAACGAUGCGUAGCCGACCGGAGAGGGGGAUCGGCCAGACUGGGACUGAGACACGGCCCAGACUCCUACGGGAGGCAGCAGUAGGGAAUCUUCCGCAAUGGACGAAAGUCUGACGGAGCAACGCCGCGUGAGUGAUGAAGGCUUUCGGGUCGUAAAACUCUGUUGUUAGGGAAGAACAAGUGCUAGUUGAAUAAGCUGGCACCUUGACGGUACCUAACCAGAAAGCCACGGCUAACUACGUGCCAGCAGCCGCAGUAC